UAUUAAUAUUAAUAUUAUUUUAUUUAUUUUUAGUCAAUUCAUUGUAAGAAAUAACUUAUUUAUUUUUAGUAUUGUUUAUUGAAUUAAUUAUAAUUAAUUAUAGUUUAUUAGUACUGUAAAGGAUUUAUUUAUUUAUUUUAUUUAAGCAUUCUUUAUUUGAUUUACCUUUUGUAUCAGGGUUUAUUUAUUUUAUUUAUUUGAUUAAUUUAUUUUCCCGAAAUUAAGAGAUUUAAUAUAUUAUGGAUUUUUACGUUUUAUAGUAAUUUUUAAUUUUAUAUUAGAUGUGAUAUGCUUUUCAUUCUUAAAUAUCUGGUUUCUUAAUAAAUAAUUUUAAUUUAGGCUUAAUUUAGGUUUUAUUUAUUUUUAUUUUAUUUAUUUUUAUUAAGUUGAGAUUAUUGGGGAUUAGCUCAUUAAUUUUUCUAAAAUAUUUAUUUAUUUUAAUAUUUGUGUAGGUUUAAUAACGGCCAUCUUUUUAUUUCGUUAUAGUUUUGAUUUAUUUUUAUUUUAUUUAUUUUUAAUUUAGAUUUUUAUUAAGAUUUUUAUUUUAUUUAUUUUUAUUUAGUAAUAAUGAUUGAAUUAGUAGUUUUGCAUAUUAAAGUAUAGUAACUCGGCAAAUUUUAUUUUCGCCUGUUUAACAAAAACAUGUCCUAUUUGUUUAUUAUAAUAUUAGGUCUAGCCUGCCCUAUGAUAUUAAUUAAAUGGCCGCAGUAUUUUAACUGUGCAAAGGUAGCAUAAUCAUUUGUCUUUUAAUUGAGGGCUCGUAUGAAUGGUUGGACGAGAGAUAAACUUUCUUUAUUUUAAUAUUGAAUGAACUUGAUUUUUUAGUCAGAAAGCUGAAAUUAUUUUGUGGGACGAGAAGACCCUAUAGAAUUUUACUUUUAUUAAGAUAUAUUUAUUAUAUGAUUUUAUUUAUUAAAUUUAUUUUUAAAUAGUUUUGUUGGGGUGACAGUAAGAUUUAUUUAACUCUUAUUCUUUAUUUUUAUCAAUAAUUAUUGUAUAUUUGAUCCUUUAUUAUGGAUUAUAAGAUUAAAUUACCUUAGGGAUAACAGCGUAAUUCUCCUGGAGAGUUCUUAUCGAUGGGUUUAGAGUUUGCGACCUCGAUGUUGGAUUAAAGUUAGAGUUGGGUGCAGCUGCUCAAGUUUCUAGGUCUGUUCGACCUUUUAAUCUUUACAUGAUCUGAGUUCAGACCGGCGUGAGCCAGGUUGGUUUCUAUCUACAAUUAUUAUUUAAGUAUUUUAGUACGAAAGGACCAUAUACUUGUAAUAUUUAUUUUAUUUUUGAUUAAUUUU
This 1289-nucleotide ribosomal RNA is filed under the name Sadoletus valdezi. Its description in RNAcentral is "16S ribosomal RNA". The stretch from base 845 to 1219 matches the Rfam family "Archaeal large subunit ribosomal RNA", at positions 2150 to 2716 of the family's 2987-position model. Lineage: Eukaryota; Metazoa; Arthropoda; Insecta; Hemiptera; Heterogastridae. The record is from RNAcentral.